AAUUCAAAAAAUAUAUUCUCGAACAAACAUACAAAACAACAAAAUAACUUUCAAUUCUUUCCUUCACAGAAUAGUUAUUUUUAGAGGAGGACACUUGACUAGCCGGGACCAACAACCGCUCCAGUUUCUGCGCUCCACUUGACAGUCGUUCUACGGAUACACUACAUUCACAAAACACCCCUUUUGUGUGACUUGUCGCCUACACUAGUCAUCACUUUGAGUGCACGAGUUUAACUUUCUUGUGUCUUGUCCCCGCCAUCCAUCCUACCGAUUUGCCGUGACAGCAGAUGCAUCGCGGACUGUCUUUACGACACCCGGGCCACCGACUCCUCACAACAUCUCGGCGGACAGACAACCAAACCAAAACACGAAAGCGACUAUCUACAAACAAACAGAUUUAUUCGAUAUCACAACCACCAGGCAAUGUGUCCGUCGCAAACUACCAGUUCCUUCGUGGAACAGCAGUGACUUACGUUCACUAGCGACAUCGAACUGUGGCGAAACGCAACAUGGAACUCCGUUGGCCACUCCGCGCCAUUAAGGGUCAGCUUUGCGCUCCCCUUAAGCCUGCAGCAGCGAGUUCUGCCGGGACAGCUAAACUGCAUUUCGCGAGCCGUCGUCUUCUCUACAAAAAAUUUUAUUUAUAUUUAUUUCUCCCAUGCAUUCCCCUCUACACGUCCAGGAGUCAUUUGUUAGAAUGACACCUGGAGUUGCGUCAGUCCAAAUGCAUUGGAACAAUAAAUUAUUGGGCGCCAUUUGUUACAUUCGGCUUGCGGCUCGUGGGGCAACGCCGGCUAGCUCUCGACCCCAGGGAUGGGUAGUUCCCCUUGCCCGCCAAAUGUAAGCAAAGUUUGAGAUUUCGACUUCUCGGGACAUCAAUUCAGACAUAAAAAAACUACAAUAGACUGCAAGACAAACAAAAAGAACCAAACAAAUAGACGGCUGUCAAGUGGGUGAAGUCUAGGUGUUUCCACUUCGCGCGCCCACCCUACCUAUGGUCAAAUACAACGUUCAUUUUGGCCACCCUCUGCUGGAACGGCCGCGGCUGGUCUAAUCCAUGGCUUACGCCACGCGUCCUCCCUCUAAAUUAAUUUAGGCCUUCAUCCUUUCAAUAUUCCUUAGUUUAAUAUAUAAUAUAAUACGACAAAUA
Long non-coding RNA from Drosophila obscura, 1150 nucleotides. RefSeq lists it as uncharacterized. Lineage: Eukaryota; Metazoa; Arthropoda; Insecta; Diptera; Drosophilidae. The transcript is spliced from 3 exons. The record is from RefSeq and is a predicted model, not a curated record.